GCCUCCACCGUCUUGGCGCCAUCAUCGUCUACGGCUUUCGCUUUUUCAGCUACCUCUGUUUCCACUACAACCACUUCGGCCGCAGGAGCAUCGGCUGGUGGUGGUGGAGGAGGAGUAUUCUCUUCUUCCUUGACUUCAACAGCGGCGGGUGCAUCCGUUUCUACCUUGGGUUCUUCUGAAAUUGCAGCAGCAGGUGUCUCUUCCUCUUUUUCUUCUUUUUUCUCUUCCUUGUUUUCUUCUUCUUCUUUCUUUGGCUCAGGCUCAGGCUCAGCUACAGGUUUUUCUUCUGCUUUGGGUUUGGCAGUGAACUCGUGGUUGUUAAGGGCUUCUUGAAUAAGCUGCUUAAGCUCAUCAAGGGCCUUCUUUUGAGGCUCAGGAAGUUCACCAGCGAUAUUAGUUUCCUCUUUGAAAGAAACAGACUGGGUUAUCUUAGUUUCUUCCUUUUCUUCAACCUUGGGCUUCUCAACUUCAACAGCUUCUUCUUCAACAGCAACAACAGCCGGCUUCUCGGGCACCUCAGGUUCCGGCAGGGGAGCAGGUGCGGAGGGUUGUGGCUCUUUCUCAGUAACUUGAGGCUUCUCGACAACCACAGACACCUCCUGGGCGGGGGCAGCAGGUGCAGAUUCAGAGUCAAGAGUCUCCUGGGCCAUGGGUAAGUAAGAGAGGAAGAAUGAAAGUUGUAAGAAAGGGAGAAGAAUGAAGAGGGGGCUUAAAAAUGGAAGAAACAAGAGUGUGAGAGUGGAAUGACAGCUAGCUUAUCUUAUAGGAGUGAGUUAAGGAGUGGACCCCCGACAUUGUUCCUCUUCCAUUUCCAAACCGCUAUCUUUGCCACUUCUUAUGCGCUGCCAUUUUCCCUUUUUUUCACUAAUUUUCAUUUUUUUUUUCUGUUCAAUCUUGGCGUUACAUCUGCGCUUAUUUUGGUAAUCAAUCCCUACAUACGGUUAAGUUUCAAGUCCAAAUACAUUCAGCUCAAUAUUUUAAUUAAAAAAUUACUCUUGCGUAUAACAUUUUUUACUGUCAAUUACAAAUAGAUUUUUUUACUCAAAAAAAUCUACGUGUAGUGUGUCAGCCAAUAAUGGAAGAACAAAAAUACUAAUAAUAGAGGGGAUUUCUUGUCACACCUCUGGCAUACCUUUAUUUAUUUUCACUAUCCAUUUAAAAUUAUCAUUUUUAUUUAAAUUUAAAUAAGUUGAGGUGGAAAAUAAAAAUAAAAAAAUUUUGAGGUGACCCACUUAUGACACAAGGAGUUGUAAUUAUUUUGUUUAUAAAGUUGAAAGUUAUCAAGAUUUGAAUUUUAAACAUUGUGCUUAAUUUGUUGAAAUUAAUUCAAACUAAAACAGGAAAAAUGAGAGUGAAGCCACCUCAUCGUGAGGUAUGCAAUUUGCAAAUCUUACUUGGGAUUUAAAAUUCUAAUUACAAAGAUUAUUUCCUUUCACCCUUGCCUUUUCUACCAAAAAAAAAUAAUAUUAUAUUACCAAAUUUAAAAUUAUAUUCCUUAAGCACAUCACAAAUAUAUUUAUAUAUUUAUUUUUAGUUUAAAUUAAUAAAUCAUUUCUUGUUUGGUUAUAUUUUAACAUUUUUAUCUAAAUUAACAUCUAUGUCAAAAUUAAAUAAUAUUAAAAAUUAUUAACUCUUUAUAAAAUCAUAUUGCAUCCAAAUAUUUUUAUUUUAAAAAAUAAUAACUGAUUGUUAAUAUCUAGAAAACGAAUUUUAAAAAAGAUUUCAAAAAAAAAAAAGAAUGAUAAUUUUUUUUUAAUUUCUUAAAAAUAAAUUUAAAAUUAGAAACUUCAGAGUCCAAAAAUGAUCUCUUAUUUCCUAUUUUUAUAUUAUUUUAGGAUUAAUAAAUUUUUAUUUGAUUAUGGGAUCUGUUUUAGUGUAGAUAUAAAGAAGAUCGGAAGU
RNAcentral lists this long non-coding RNA (1899 nucleotides) under Gossypium barbadense (sea-island cotton). RNAcentral describes it as "long non-coding RNA (GBAR_LNC004074)". The record is from RNAcentral. Lineage: Eukaryota; Viridiplantae; Streptophyta; Magnoliopsida; Malvales; Malvaceae.